RNAcentral lists this long non-coding RNA (400 nucleotides) under Lepidothrix coronata (blue-crowned manakin). Its description in RNAcentral is "lncRNA (ENSLCOG00000002594.1)". The record is from RNAcentral. Lineage: Eukaryota; Metazoa; Chordata; Aves; Passeriformes; Pipridae.
UAAAAAGGACCAAGGAGCUGGAAGCUGUUUCUAGGAUACAAUGUACAGCACUUCCUACUCUUGGCUCACUCUACCUUCAACCUCUCAGCUCUGUCAUUUUUUUUCUGUCUAUGAAUUUAAAAUAGUUUUAUGGCACCAGAUAGUGAAGUGAAAGCAAUAGCAUUUGUCCCAGCCGUGGGUGGGAUCACCUUGCUACCGCGGUGAAAUCGAAGGGGCUGAUCUUCACAAGGAUUUUGCAUUAAGGCAGCAGCUGCCCAUUGGCUGGAGAGGAAAUCAAACGUUUAUCCACUGCUACCUUUGCCUGUGGAUGGUAAAAAGAUUACAUACUCUGCAGAAGCUUUCCUGCAGAGUUGUCAUCAGGAGUGAUCCAAUCCUUUUCCGGACUGUCACAGUUUAUAAG